RNAcentral lists this transfer RNA (72 nucleotides) under archaeon. RNAcentral describes it as "tRNA-Gly". It matches the Rfam family "tRNA". Rfam says of the family: Transfer RNA (tRNA) molecules are approximately 80 nucleotides in length. Their secondary structure includes four short double-helical elements and three loops (D, anti-codon, and T loops). Further hydrogen bonds mediate the characteristic L-shaped molecular structure. tRNAs have two regions of fundamental functional importance: the anti-codon, which is responsible for specific mRNA codon recognition, and the 3' end, to which the tRNAs corresponding amino acid is attached (by aminoacyl-tRNA synthetases). tRNAs cope with the degeneracy of the genetic code in two manners: having more than one tRNA (with a specific anti-codon) for a particular amino acid; and 'wobble' base-pairing, i.e. permitting non-standard base-pairing at the 3rd anti-codon position. The record is from RNAcentral.
GCGUGAGUAAUUCAAUGGCUAGAAUGCCGGCCUUCCAAGCCGAUAAUCCGGGUUCGAAUCCCGGCUCGCGCA